This 215-nucleotide long non-coding RNA is filed under the name Elaeis guineensis (African oil palm). RNAcentral describes it as "long non-coding RNA (EGUI_LNC044106)". Lineage: Eukaryota; Viridiplantae; Streptophyta; Magnoliopsida; Arecales; Arecaceae. The record is from RNAcentral.
CCCUAGGGUUUCUGUCUAGGGUUCGAAAAGUGAGAAGAUGAGCUACGAGUGUCGUGAGCCCACCAAACCUCAGAGAGAGCUUCAUCAUACUCUCAAGUUUCUUUGCUGAUGAUCUAGAGCAUCUGAGGAGUUGACAGACAUCGAUCGAAGGAGUUCGAUCAGCAUCGACCAUUGAAAGGGUUCUGCAACGAACUAGCAUUGGUGAGGAGCCGAUC